RNAcentral lists this ribosomal RNA (334 nucleotides) under uncultured Omnitrophica bacterium. RNAcentral describes it as "bacterial SSU rRNA". It matches the Rfam family "Bacterial small subunit ribosomal RNA", at positions 29 to 351 of the family's 1533-position model. Lineage: Bacteria; Pseudomonadati; Candidatus Omnitrophota. The record is from RNAcentral.
AACGAACGCUGGCGGCGUGGAUUAGGCAUGCAAGUCGAACGAUCCGCUGUAAUGCGGAUAGUGGCAAAAGGGUGAGUAACACAUGGGUAAUUUACCUUUAGGUUCGGAAUAACUUGCCGAAAGGCGAGCUAAUACUGGAUAAGACCACACUCUGUUCGCAGAGAGGGGUUAAAGCAGGGGACCCUAACAGGGCCUUGCGCCUUUAGAUGAGCCUGUGUCCUAUCAGCUUGUUGGUAGGGUAACGGCCUACCAAGGCAUUUGACGGGUAGCUGGUCUGAGAGGAUGGUCAGCCACACUGGGACUGAGACACUGCCCAGACACCUACGGGUGGCAG